Molecule: ribosomal RNA, 1811 nt
Filed under: uncultured Pelagophyceae
Lineage: Eukaryota; Pelagophyceae
Description: partial Bacterial large subunit ribosomal RNA
Rfam family: Bacterial large subunit ribosomal RNA
Source: RNAcentral
UCAAGCAACUAAGCGCAUACGGUGGAUGCCUUGGCAGUCAGAGGCGAUGAAAGACGUGGAAGCCUGCGAUAAGGCUCGGGGAGCUGGCAAACAAGCUGUGAUCCGGGCAUUUCUGAAUGGGGAAACCCACCGACUUUCGGGUCGGUACCUUACACUGAAUCCAUAGGUGUAAGGGGCGAACCGGGGGAACUGAAACAUCUAAGUACCCCGAGGAAAAGAAAUCAACCGAGAUUCCCUAAGUAGCGGCGAGCGAACGGGGACUAGCCCUUAAGCUAGACAACUGGUAGGAGAAGGCUCUGGAAAGUGCCGCCAUAGUGGGUGAUAGCCCCGUAUCCGAAACCUGAGUCUGGUGAAAUCGAGUAGGACGGGACACGUGAUAUCCUGUCUGAACAUGGGGGGACCAUCCUCCAAGGCUAAAUACUCCUGACUGACCGAUAGUGAACCAGUACCGUGAGGGAAAGGCGAAAAGAACCCCUGUGAGGGGAGUGAAAUAGAUCCUGAAACCGUAUGCGUACAAGCAGUCGGAGCGGACUUGUUCCGUGACGGCGUACCUUUUGUAUAAUGGGUCAGCGACUUCGUCUCACGAGCAAGCUUAAGCCGAUAGGUGUAGGCGUAGCGAAAGCGAGUCUGAAUAGGGCGACUGAGUUCGUGGGAUGAGACCCGAAGCCAGGUGAUCUAGCCAUGUGCAGGUUGAAGGUGCGGUAACACGCACUGGAGGACCGAACCCACGUCUGUUGAAAAAGACGGGGAUGACGUGUGGCUAGGGGUGAAAGGCCAAUCAAACCUGGAAAUAGCUGGUUCUCCGCGAAAUCUAUUUAGGUAGAGCGUCAUCCGAAUACCGUCGGGGGUAGAGCACUGGAUGGGCUAGGGGGUCCCAACGACUUACCAAACCUAACCAAACUCCGAAUACCGAUGAGUAAUAGAUGGCAGACACACUGCGGGUGCUAAGGUCCGUAGUGGAGAGGGAAACAGCCCUGACCACCAGCUAAGGUCCCUAAGUUAUCACUAAGUGGGAAACGAUGUGGGAGUGCUUAGACAACCAGGAGGUUGGCUUAGAAGCAGCCAUCCUUUAAAGAAAGCGUAACAGCUCACUGGUCAAGCGCUCCUGCGCGGAAAAUGUAACGGGGCUUAAGUGAUACACCGAAGCUGUGGAUUCAAUCUUAUGAUUGAGUGGUAGCGGAGCGUUCCGUAGGCCGAUGAAGGUGGACCCGCGAGGGCCGCUGGAGGUAUCGGAAGUGAGAAUGCUGACAUGAGUAGCGAUAAAGAGGGUGAGAGACCCUCUCGCCGAAAGUCCAAGGGUUCCUGCGCAAUGCUAAUCAGCGCAGGGUUAGCCGGCCCCUAAGGCGAGGCCGAAAGGCGUAGUCGAUGGGAACCACGUUAAUAUUCGUGGGCCAGCGGGUAGUGACGGAUCUCGUGUGUUGUCAGUCCUUAUCGGAUUGGACUGGCAGCGAAGAGGUCCCUGGAAAUAGCUCCCGCAUUAGACCGUACCCUAAACCGACACAGGUGGACUGGUAGAGCAUACCAAGGCGCUUGAGAGAACUGUGCUGAAGGAACUCGGCAAAUUGCUCCCGUAAGUUCGCGAGAAGGGAGCCUUCGCAUUGGGCAACCAGUGCGGAGGGGCACAGACCAGGGGGUGGCGACUGUUUAUUAAAAACACAGGGCUCUGCGAAGUCGCAAGACGACGUAUAGGGUCUGACGCCUGCCCGGUGCCGGAAGGUUAAAAGGAGGAGUGAGAGCUCCGAAUUGAAGCCCCGGUAAACGGCGGCCGUAACUAUAACGGUCCUAAGGUAGCGAAAUUCCUUGUCGGGUAA